RNAcentral lists this ribosomal RNA (186 nucleotides) under uncultured Allobrachymonas sp. Its description in RNAcentral is "uncultured Brachymonas sp. partial 16S ribosomal RNA". It matches the Rfam family "Bacterial small subunit ribosomal RNA", at positions 1197 to 1382 of the family's 1533-position model. The record is from RNAcentral. Lineage: Bacteria; Pseudomonadati; Pseudomonadota; Betaproteobacteria; Burkholderiales; Comamonadaceae.
GGCCCUUAUAGGUGGGGCUACACACGUCAUACAAUGGCCGGUACAGAGGGUAGCCAACCCGCGAGGGGAGCCAAUCCCAACAAAGCCGGUCGUAGUCCGGAUCGCAGUCUGCAACUCGACUGCGUGAAGUCGGAAUCGCUAGUAAUCGCGGAUCAGCAUGUCGCGGUGAAUACGUUCCCGGGUCUU